RNAcentral lists this ribosomal RNA (392 nucleotides) under uncultured bacterium. RNAcentral describes it as "bacterial SSU rRNA". It matches the Rfam family "Bacterial small subunit ribosomal RNA", at positions 28 to 422 of the family's 1533-position model. The record is from RNAcentral.
GACGAACGCUGGCGGCGUGCUUAACACAUGCAAGUCGAGCGGUAAGGCUCCUUCGGGAGUACACGAGCGGCGAACGGGUGAGUAACACGUGAGCAAUCUGCCCUUCACAUGGGAAUAACUUCGGGAAACCGAAGCUAAUACCGAAUACGACCACCGAUGGCAUCUUCUGGUGGUGGAAAGUUCCGGCGGUGAAGGAUGAGCUCGCGGCCUAUCAGCUUGUUGGGAGGUAAUGGCCCACCAAGGCGACGACGGGUAGCCGGCCUGAGAGGGUGACCGGCCACACUGGGACUGAGACACGGCCCAGACUCCUACGGGAGGCAGCAGUGGGGAAUAUUGGACAAUGGGCGAAAGCCUGAUCCAGCAACGCCGCGUGAGGGAUGACGGCCUGGUGU